CAGUAGCCGCGGGAAUACGUAGGUGGCAAGCGUUGUCCGGAAUUAUUGGGCGUAAAGGGCUCGCAGGCGGUUUCUUAAGUCUGAUGUGAGAGCCCCCGGCUCAACCGGGGAGGGUCAUUGGAAACUGGGAAACUAGAGUGCAGAAGAGGAGAGUGGAAUUGCACGUGUAGCGGUGAAAUGCGUAGAGAUGUGGAGGAACACCAGUGGCGAAGGCGACUCUCUGGUCUGUAACUGACGCUGAGGAGCGAAAGCGUGGGGAGCGAACAGGAUUAGAUACCCCAGUAGUCCCUGUCUUUAUACA
This 301-nucleotide ribosomal RNA is filed under the name uncultured bacterium. RNAcentral describes it as "partial 16S ribosomal RNA". It matches the Rfam family "Bacterial small subunit ribosomal RNA", at positions 509 to 809 of the family's 1533-position model. The record is from RNAcentral.